UAAUCACUUGUUCUUUAAAUGAGGACUCGUAUCAAUGGCACCACGAGGACUUUACUGUCUCCUUUUUCUAAUCAGUGAAACUAAUCUUCCCGUGAAGAAGCGGGAAUAAAUAGAUAAGACGAGAAGACCCCAUGGAGCUUUAAGCUUACUGCACCUCUAUUUUCUAUAACCUCUUAUUAAACGGAAUACUGCUUACUUAGCUUUAGGUUGGGGUGACCGCGGAGUAUAACAUAACCUCCAUGAUGAACAAAACUAUUUUCUUAUCUAAGAACAACAGUUCUAAGAAUUAGUAUUCUAACAUAAAAUGAUCCGAUAAUCGAUCAACGGACUAAGUUACCCUGGGGAUAACAGCGCAAUCCAUUUCAAGAGCCCCUAUCGACAAAUGGGUUUACGACCUCGAUGUUGGAUCAGGAUAUCCUAGUGGUGCAGCAGCUACUGAAGGUUCGUUUGUUCAACGAUUAAAAUCCU
RNAcentral lists this ribosomal RNA (468 nucleotides) under Gephyromantis enki. RNAcentral describes it as "partial 16S ribosomal RNA". It matches the Rfam family "Bacterial large subunit ribosomal RNA", at positions 1962 to 2597 of the family's 2925-position model. Lineage: Eukaryota; Metazoa; Chordata; Amphibia; Anura; Mantellidae. The record is from RNAcentral.